This 1503-nucleotide ribosomal RNA is filed under the name Acinetobacter calcoaceticus. Its description in RNAcentral is "bacterial SSU rRNA". It matches the Rfam family "Bacterial small subunit ribosomal RNA". The record is from RNAcentral. Lineage: Bacteria; Pseudomonadati; Pseudomonadota; Gammaproteobacteria; Moraxellales; Moraxellaceae.
CCCUUUUUUAUUUUUUUUUUGUUUCCCCCCGUGAUGACGCUGGCGGCAGGCUUAACACAUGCAAGUCGAGCGGAGUGAUGGUGCUUGCACUAUCACUUAGCGGCGGACGGGUGAGUAAUGCUUAGGAAUCUGCCUAUUAGUGGGGGACAACAUUUCGAAAGGAAUGCUAAUACCGCAUACGUCCUACGGGAGAAAGCAGGGGAUCUUCGGACCUUGCGCUAAUAGAUGAGCCUAAGUCGGAUUAGCUAGUUGGUGGGGUAAAGGCCUACCAAGGCGACGAUCUGUAGCGGGUCUGAGAGGAUGAUCCGCCACACUGGGACUGAGACACGGCCCAGACUCCUACGGGAGGCAGCAGUGGGGAAUAUUGGACAAUGGGCGCAAGCCUGAUCCAGCCAUGCCGCGUGUGUGAAGAAGGCCUUAUGGUUGUAAAGCACUUUAAGCGAGGAGGAGGCUACUGAAGUUAAUACCUUCAGAUAGUGGACGUUACUCGCAGAAUAAGCACCGGCUAACUCUGUGCCAGCAGCCGCGGUAAUACAGAGGGUGCAAGCGUUAAUCGGAUUUACUGGGCGUAAAGCGCGCGUAGGCGGCUAAUUAAGUCAAAUGUGAAAUCCCCGAGCUUAACUUGGGAAUUGCAUUCGAUACUGGUUAGCUAGAGUGUGGGAGAGGAUGGUAGAAUUCCAGGUGUAGCGGUGAAAUGCGUAGAGAUCUGGAGGAAUACCGAUGGCGAAGGCAGCCAUCUGGCCUAACACUGACGCUGAGGUGCGAAAGCAUGGGGAGCAAACAGGAUUAGAUACCCUGGUAGUCCAUGCCGUAAACGAUGUCUACUAGCCGUUGGGGCCUUUGAGGCUUUAGUGGCGCAGCUAACGCGAUAAGUAGACCGCCUGGGGAGUACGGUCGCAAGACUAAAACUCAAAUGAAUUGACGGGGGCCCGCACAAGCGGUGGAGCAUGUGGUUUAAUUCGAUGCAACGCGAAGAACCUUACCUGGCCUUGACAUAGUAAGAACUUUCCAGAGAUGGAUUGGUGCCUUCGGGAACUUACAUACAGGUGCUGCAUGGCUGUCGUCAGCUCGUGUCGUGAGAUGUUGGGUUAAGUCCCGCAACGAGCGCAACCCUUUUCCUUAUUUGCCAGCGAGUAAUGUCGGGAACUUUAAGGAUACUGCCAGUGACAAACUGGAGGAAGGCGGGGACGACGUCAAGUCAUCAUGGCCCUUACGGCCAGGGCUACACACGUGCUACAAUGGUCGGUACAAAGGGUUGCUACCUAGCGAUAGGAUGCUAAUCUCAAAAAGCCGAUCGUAGUCCGGAUUGGAGUCUGCAACUCGACUCCAUGAAGUCGGAAUCGCUAGUAAUCGCGGAUCAGAAUGCCGCGGUGAAUACGUUCCCGGGCCUUGUACACACCGCCCGUCACACCAUGGGAGUUUGUUGCACCAGAAGUAGGUAGUCUAACCGCAAGGAGGACGCUUACCACGGUGUGGCCGAUGACUGGGGUGAAGUCGUACCAA